Apodemus sylvaticus (European woodmouse) is the source of this 476-nucleotide non-coding RNA. The record is from the annotation of a RefSeq genome assembly. Lineage: Eukaryota; Metazoa; Chordata; Mammalia; Rodentia; Muridae.
UGUGUAGUCCGUGGGGAGUGAUUACCUCAUGAGAAUAUAGCCUAAGGGUGAUGGGAAACCUUCAGAGAAGGCAGGCGAUCGGCACUCUCUAUGAAUCAACCAUGUACUGCAAACUUUUCUACUGUGCAGCCCUUUUAUUCUGGACAGCAAGCUCCACAGACUCUGGGGUCACCCAGAGUCCUAGACUUCUGGUCAAAGGAAAAGAACAGAAAGCCAGAAUGGACUGCACCCCCAUAAAAGGACAUAGCUACGUCUAUUGGUACUACAAGAAGCUGGGAGAAGAACUCAAAUUUUUGGUUUACUUUCAGAAUAAAGACAUCAUUGAUAAAACAGAUAUGAUUGGUAAAAACAUUUCAGCGAAAUGCCCCACUAACGAACCAUGUACCAUAGAGAUCCAGUCCAGCAAGCUAACAGAUUCAGCUGUGUACUUCUGUGCUAGCAGUCAAUCCACAGUGCUGACUACUGGCUUUUCUUAG